Molecule: unclassified non-coding RNA, 1822 nt
Filed under: Hevea brasiliensis (rubber tree)
Lineage: Eukaryota; Viridiplantae; Streptophyta; Magnoliopsida; Malpighiales; Euphorbiaceae
Source: RNAcentral
AGCAGCAUUGGCAAUCAGUUCAUCUGCACAGCAUUUUGAAAGGGAAAAAAAAAAGGAAUAAAUCAGUGAUUUAGAAAAACAUGAAAUCUGGCAUAUAAAGAUGAAGUUAACAAAAAAGGCAAGUAAUUAAUACACUAAAAUUGAAGCAAAAAUGAAAAACUAAAUAAUCAAAAUAACAACUCUUCUUCAGGAUAAGAAAUCCAAUGAACUAUGGUUUUUGUGUGGAAUAAAAGAUAAAUAAAUAACAUUUAAACAAGAAUCAAGUGAAUAAGAUAAGAGGCACCUGUCAAACAUAAUGUAUUUUGUUAAUAGCCUUAGGUUCACAUUAGAGAAAGAGAGAACACAAAACAGCAAGAGAAUCAGUCAUCCACAAACAAACUCAAGCGAAAGAUGCAAUUAGAACAAGCCAGAUAUGUGUAAGACAAUUUUCAGUGCUAAUUUUCACUGAGAAGUGGGAAGUAUCAAAGUUGAUCCAACAAGUUCCACAGAAAGAAUGUUUAAGACAUAAAUUUAACACCCUUUAGAGUUAAAACUUGCAGGUAAAUGAUCAUGAAAAACUACAAGUCAUCUCAUAACCUUCCAUCAAGCUGAACCUAAAGAGAAGUAUACAUGGUGAAAAUAUUAUGAUGAAAAAAUGACUCGUGGAAACUUGUUUUCUAAAUUACGAUUAUGCAGAUAACAUCAACUGCAAAUAGUAAGAACAACUGACUAGUUAAAACCAAGUAGCUAUUGCUCCAAAUUAACAAAGUCUCCCUAUCAUUACAUUAAGAAUUACAGUCCACAAACCAAGAAAUAGGAUCAUUAAUUCCCAACAUGCUUAUUGAUAGAUAUCAGCUUGCCACCACCAAUUUUUCCUUAAUUUGUCUAAAAUUAGAAUUAAAAAUUACACAUUCAGAGAUGAACCAAAUCAUUACGAAAAAAAGGAGACAGAGAUGAAAAAAGUGCAUGAAAUAAUUAUCUUACUAAUACUAUUAUCUGAUAUUAACCAAUCUGGCACAAAACAGCUGUACAUCAACCUUUUUAACACAUGAUGAGCUCCAGUAUCCCCAUGGGUAGCAAUCAUUACUCGUACAGAUUUCCAGUAACAUCAAUACAGCUUUCAUUCAGAGUUAAAUAUUUAGUCUUAAGAAAAAUAUUAUAGGUACCAUAUACAGUAGGCAAAGUAGCUAGCAAGACCCUGUAAAGAUUGGCAAAUGCAAUCUCCAUCUCCCAAAGAAAAAGAAAAAUAAACCCGGUGAAAAAUAAAACUGCAAUUUCAUAUUAAUACUUCCAACAGCUAUAUUGAAAUUGUUGAACGCAUCAAGCACACAUUAUUCCUCAAAGAUUUAGCUUUUUUUUUUCUUGUUUAGCUGAUAUUUACAUAAAAACUGAAAAUAACUGUAUAAUUGCUGUUUGUAUCAAUAUUUGCAAUCACAAAGAUUGAUGAAAUUGGAAAAUUCACACCCAAAAAUCCUCGCGAUGCAACCAAACAAAUAAACAACAAUACAAUUACAUCAAACUCAGUGAAGUCAAAAGCCAUGUAGCAUAUUCUACAAAGCAAAAUUAAAGAAACUUAAAGAUAACACAAAAGAGGACCACACAUUAUAUAUAAAAAAUUAAAUAAAAUGGAUCAACAACAUACAAAAACUAAAAAUUUUCAAAACAAAAGGAAUAUUUGUCAUUGAAUUGACAUUUCUUCUCGCAAAAGAACUCUUUUUCCCAAUGCCUUUGCUAAGCUACUGAUCAAAAUUUAAGAAAAUAACCAACUGGGAUUAGUCUUUUUAAUAAACCCACAGAUUCUACAUCUAGACCAUUAUUCCAAAUAAUAAUAAUAAUAAUAAUA